GAAUAAAAAAAGACCGAAUACGAAUCCUAUAUUCGGUCUAGGGAAAGGCUCUUGUGAAAGAGCCGUGCGCUAAAAGUUGGCAUUAUGCACGACUUGUUCAGCCAUGCACUGUAAGAGUAGCCCAGCCCCUCUGUUUUGCCAGCCA
This 145-nucleotide small RNA is filed under the name Serratia sp. DD3. The record is from RNAcentral. Lineage: Bacteria; Pseudomonadati; Pseudomonadota; Gammaproteobacteria; Enterobacterales; Yersiniaceae.